Long non-coding RNA from Brassica oleracea var. oleracea, 1514 nucleotides. RefSeq lists it as uncharacterized. The record is from RefSeq and is a predicted model, not a curated record. The transcript has 9 exons. NCBI's taxonomy places the organism in Eukaryota, Viridiplantae, Streptophyta, Magnoliopsida, Brassicales, Brassicaceae.
CAAAACCAACAUCGGGACUUCUGCACUAAUGGGAUACAAUCUUGGCACUACGUUCAAGCUUGAAGUCAAAUGAAAGAAGAUCAUUGGGUUUCAUAGAUCUUCUGACAAAAACCUUCGCUCUCUAGGAGCUUAUUUUGCACCGAUUUCUCCUUCUAAUUUGAAAUACUAAUUGGAAAAAGCUACAUAUGCUCUUCAUCCGUUUGGUUUAAUGUUGUUUUGAGUCUGUACUAAUUUACUAUGUCAUCAUCUUUCAUGUUUGUUUUGGUGUGGCUUUCACAAAUUCCAUCGUUUGCAAGUUGUAUAAACUGCAGUAAGGCAAGGAUUGCUAACCGUCAUAAGAUUAUGAACUGAAAUAAUUGAAGCAGAAGCAAGCUAAUCGCAUGAGAUUUAUUGCUCCAACAGAUACGAUGGUGAACCAUUGCUAUGAAGCCGGGAAUGGAAAAUUGAGAUCUUGAAAAGUUAUGGCGGACAACCUAAUUGGCAGAUGCGUGAAAACGAUACUGGGGAUCAUAUUCCAUACGAAGUUUAAAAGCUCCCAGUUAUCAUUAUUACAUAUGGUAAAUGUUUGGAGUAUCUUGACCAUCAACUAUUGUUUGCCGUGCGGAUUAACAACUACGUGUUUAGAGUUUGUAAAAGAUUUCAUGAAACAGAACAAGGCUGGGAGCUUUUACUUAUGUGGCUGCCUUGGAAUUGAAAAGUCAUUUUCGAUGGAGAAAGUAAGAUUACAAGUUGAGCACUGGCCAAAACAGGAAGGCUUGCCUUGGAUAGAAAUAAUGUAUGUUAACUGCACGUCACUGACAGAAAACAUAUAUAUUCUCAAAGGUAGGAAGGCAUUGCUACAGCUCAACGAGGAGAAACCCAUUGUCCUUUAUGAGCCUGAUUCACACCUCUAGCAAGCAAACUGUUGUUCGACCGCAUCUCAUGAAAAGGUUCAAGUCAUGAUAGUUCUGUAGACAUAGACUACGGUGUUGCAGAAAGUACAAUAAUAAAUACAGGAGAAUUCUGAUACCUUCAGAGGGAAACAGAGCGAGAAGAUGCUAUAAGAUGCGAGAUGUAUAUCAGAUCUGAAAUCAGGACAAGAUUCAGGGAAAGAGGAAGAAGAGGAUCAAGAGAUUGGAGCAAAUAACGUGUUCAAGAAAGUGAGAGAAAAAAACUAAGAAGAGCAGGAACAGUCUUACUAAACAUGGUCAUAGUCAUUACCACGAUAAUGAGCAUGAAAUAUGACGAGCAAGAACCAAAAAUGGCACAGAGAGCCAAGUUUGCCAUUUACCUUAGAGAAAGACAUAAGCAUUAAGUUUAAGUGACAUUAACGGUUUCUUUUCACCUAUUCUUUCAUUGUUUAUUUUGAAAGAAUCUUUGAGUAGACUUAGAUAUCUCGUGUUCUGCUUCAUCAAUGUCAUAGGGAUGCCUGCUUAUGAUUCAUGGACGUGUGGAAGAAAAGCACGCAUCUGGUCAGUGCUUUGAAAUCAGAGCAAGAUAAGGGCAACACACCCAAGCAUCUCUACAAUGAACGA